UCGAGGCGACGUGCUUUCUACUUGACCUUUACGUGCGUCAUAGUUUAACGUCCAUGUGUGUCGUAGUUUAACCCUUUCGCGCGUCGUCGUACAAAGGCAAAGCAACACAUUCAAUGUUAGCUACUUAGAAAAUGAAAAACAACCAAUUAUCCUACUCUAAAGUUUCUAAACAAUGUAGGCGGUAAUAAACAACCUAAAUA
Ciona intestinalis (vase tunicate) is the source of this 200-nucleotide non-coding RNA. NCBI's taxonomy places the organism in Eukaryota, Metazoa, Chordata, Ascidiacea, Phlebobranchia, Cionidae. The record is from RefSeq and is a predicted model, not a curated record.